Molecule: ribosomal RNA, 497 nt
Filed under: uncultured bacterium
Lineage: Bacteria
Description: partial 16S ribosomal RNA
Rfam family: Bacterial small subunit ribosomal RNA
Source: RNAcentral
GAUGAACGCUGGCGGCGUGCCUAAUACAUGCAAGUCGAGCGAACGGACGAGAAGCUUGCUUCUCUGAUGUUAGCGGCGGACGGGUGAGUAACACGUGGAUAACCUACCUAUAAGACUGGGAUAACUUCGGGAAACCGGAGCUAAUACCGGAUAAUAUUUUGAAACGCAUGGUUCAAAAGUGAAAGACGGUCUUGCUGUCACUUAUAGAUGGAACCGCGCUGCAUUAGUUAGUUGGUAAGGUAACGGCUUACCAAGGCAACGAUGCAUAGCCGACCUGAGAGGGUGAUCGGCCACACUGGAACUGAGACACGGUCCAGACUCCUACGGGAGGCAGCAGUAGGGAAUCUUCCGCAAUGGGCGAAAGCCUGACGGAGCAACGCCGCGUGAGUGAUGAAGGUCUUCGGAUCGUAAAACUCUUUUAUUAGGGAAGAACAUAUGUGUAAGUAACUGUGCACAUCUUGACGGUACCUAAUCAGAAAGCCACGGCUAACUACGUG